This is a non-coding RNA of Oryza glumipatula, 205 nucleotides long. NCBI's taxonomy places the organism in Eukaryota, Viridiplantae, Streptophyta, Magnoliopsida, Poales, Poaceae. The record is from Rfam.
AAAAAGACAAACCCUGGAUUUUCGUACCAACGUUUGACUGUCCGUAUUAUAUGAAAUUUUUUUAUAAUUAGUAUUUUUAUUGUUGUUAGAUGAUAAAACAUGAUUAAUAUUUUAUGCGUGACUUAUCUUUUUAAUUUUUUUUAUAAUUUUUUCAAAUAAGACGGACGAUUAAACGUUGGACAUGGAAACCAGGGUUUGUCUUUUU